Molecule: ribosomal RNA, 433 nt
Filed under: uncultured bacterium
Lineage: Bacteria
Description: partial 16S ribosomal RNA
Rfam family: Bacterial small subunit ribosomal RNA
Source: RNAcentral
AGCGAACGCUGGCGGCAGGCCUAACACAUGCAAGUCGAACGGAUCCUUCGGGAUUAGUGGCGGACGGGUGAGUAACACGUGGGAACGUGCCCUUUGGUUCGGAACAACUCAGGGAAACUUGAGCUAAUACCGGAAGUGCCCUUCGGGGGAAAGAUUUAUCGCCAUUGGAGCGGCCCGCGUCUGAUUAGCUAGUUGGUGAGGUAACGGCCCACCAAGGCGACGAUCAGUAGCUGGUCUGAGAGGAUGAUCAGCCACACUGGGACUGAGACACGGCCCAGACUCCUACGGGAGGCAGCAGUGGGGAAUCUUGCGCAAUGGGCGAAAGCCUGACGCAGCCAUGCCGCGUGAAUGAUGAAGGUCUUAGGAUUGUAAAAUUCCUUCAGCGGGGACGAUAAUGACGGUACCCGCAGAAGAAGCUCCGGCUAACUUCGUG